UGGGCCCGUCUAGUGGAUAACAAGAUGCAUCGAUCCUUACCGCGCGAGCGCCAUCGGAACGCGCGCAGGAUAGAUUUUCCCAACAAAAUUGCCUCGAUACAGCCAGCGGCGCAUCUCGCCGCCGAAGAAGUCCGCAGUUCCAUCUCUCUGCCACCUCCCACCCGCCUCGCCUUGUGCGCUAUCGAGCUGCUACACUUCGGCACUUCCUCUGAUAAUGGUGUCCAGCCUGAAUGGGAUGUCUGUUGGAUAUUUGCUUGCUGACAAUACCAUGGAGUACCCUACGAGGUGAGAGGGUCCCUCCUGCGUCGGGUUUGUGUGGUCUGGUUCCGUGUACAUUUCCUGUGCACACUCCAUCCAUGGUAGUUUCAUGUAUACAUCUCUGAUUGCUUGUCGAAAAUCGGAAAUCGAAUAUAGAGGUAUGAUGUAUAAACUCUUUUGAUCCUGUACUAUCCAGUAGGAUUAGUUCCUCAUUUAUUUUGGCUAUACUAUGCACUUCUUUUGCCUAAAAGGUGCCUGUUGUUCCAUCUUAUCCACAAAGUUCUUAAUAAAACUGUAAACACCCUAAUUUUCUCGUUAAUCUUUUGAGAAACAUAGCCAAUUUUCUUGGAUUUUUAGAUAGCUGCAGAUGGUAGUGUCAGACUGUCAGUAACGUGUGGCUUCUGUUUCAAAUAUUUCAGCAAUUACUGGACCCCCCAAAAAAACGAUUUGGGGAUGGUUGCUUCAGUGUGAUCGCUAUUAAAUUUUAAAUAGUGGGGAUGCCAUUUCCAUCCAUUCAUCUCUUCCUCUAGCUUGUCUGAAAGUUAUGAUACAGCAGGGCCUCUUUGUUUCAGGUUGGAUGAAGACGGAGAACAAGGUGGCCUCUUUGUUUGACUGAUAUAUUUGGCCUCUUUUGCCAAUACAAGAAGAUAAUGGUGUCCAGCCUGAAUGGGAUGUCUGUUGGAUAUUCGCUUGCCGACAAUACCAUGGAGUCCCCUACGAGGUUGGACGAAAACGAAGAACAAGGUGGCCUCUUUGUUUCACUGAUAUAGUUGGUCUCUUUUGCAAAUGCAAGAAGAUGAAGCAAAUCUGUAGAUUAUUGCAACUAUCAGAAAUGGGCAAGCGCUUGCGGCAGGGCAAGGACACCUCCAGGACAUACUGAAAAGCCCUGGCAGUACUUCAAGUUGUGCAAAUCACUUCAGCCAUGUGAUGUACUCCCUCCGUAAAGAAAUAUAAGAGCGUUUAGAUCACUAAAAUAGUGAUCUAAACACUUCUAUAUUUGUUUACAGAGGGAGUAUUUAUCUGCUGGUUGUAAAUUUGUAAUAGAAUGCAGAGUAGUCUCCCUUUGAAAAAAGAAAGGCAGAGAGAGACAGUCCUCUAUUGUCCCCUUUCUUGUAACAUGAACAAUUUUCAUCAUAAGAGCAAAUCGAUCCGACUGCUCCACAUCACACUGGAGUAGGUGCAUUUAGCUACUAA
Long non-coding RNA from Triticum aestivum (bread wheat), 1452 nucleotides. RefSeq lists it as uncharacterized. The transcript is spliced from 4 exons. The record is from RefSeq and is a predicted model, not a curated record. NCBI's taxonomy places the organism in Eukaryota, Viridiplantae, Streptophyta, Magnoliopsida, Poales, Poaceae.